RNAcentral lists this ribosomal RNA (149 nucleotides) under Aspergillus oerlinghausenensis. RNAcentral describes it as "partial 28S ribosomal RNA". It matches the Rfam family "Eukaryotic large subunit ribosomal RNA", at positions 1 to 148 of the family's 3401-position model. The record is from RNAcentral. Lineage: Eukaryota; Fungi; Ascomycota; Eurotiomycetes; Eurotiales; Aspergillaceae.
UUGACCUCGGAUCAGGUAGGGAUACCCGCUGAACUUAAGCAUAUCAAUAAGCGGAGGAAAAGAAACCAACAGGGAUUGCCUCAGUAACGGCGAGUGAAGCGGCAAGAGCUCAAAUUUGAAAGCUGGCCCCCUCGGGGUCCGCGUUGUAA